GGGCUACCCCGAGGACCAGCUGGGCCUGAAGGACCGGCAGAACCAGCUUCACCCUGUAAUGGCACCAAAGACCAGUGAGGUAGAAGUCACUCACUCUAAUGCCUUUGAAGCCAGGAAGUCCAGGAGUCCCAGGGAAUCCACGAGCACCCUUGGGGGAAAAUCAGAACCAGAUGCCUUUAAUCAAUGCCACCAGUGUGUGUGACAUCCAAGCCACCAUCAGAGGCAUGUUCAUAACUAAUGCUGGACCACAUCCUGUUGUCACCAAUCUCACCUGUGG
This is a long non-coding RNA of Apodemus sylvaticus (European woodmouse), 277 nucleotides long. RefSeq lists it as uncharacterized. The transcript has 3 exons. NCBI's taxonomy places the organism in Eukaryota, Metazoa, Chordata, Mammalia, Rodentia, Muridae. The record is from RefSeq and is a predicted model, not a curated record.